AACCGACAAGUACACGCCCCUUCGCACUCCACUAGCUAGUAAGCUGAGCUACAAGGUGUGCCAGGCACCCAGGACGCCGAUUCACCGCUUCAGUGAAGGCCCAGCUCAAAUGCCACCUCUUCCAUGAAGACUUCCGUGAUCCACAAUGAUAGCAUCUCCAGCAAUUGCUUCUAUAAUGAAUAGCAUGAGUCAUUCUGCAGGAUGUUGAUCUUCCUUUUUUUACUCCUAGACUGAAUUUUUCCACCACCUGGAUGAACAUAGCAGAAAGAACAUAGUGUUUUAGAGUCAGACACAAUAGGAAUCAGGCACUUUGGAAUCUUGGCUCUACCACCUUUGAGCUAUGUAUCCCAAGUCAAACACCCAUCAGACCUUUGCCAGGUGUCCAGCCUGGGCACUACGUUUCAGAAAAUGAUGCACAUAGAAUCCCUAACUGAAAGGAGAUCGCAGCUCAUUUGGUACAAAGUGGCUGAUUCUUUGACUGGUGAGCCACUCCCCAGGCAGGCAUAGCAUCACAGAGUUUCUGAGAAGGUACACCCUGGAUGCAAAGCAGUGUUGCUGAAAGACUCC
RNAcentral lists this long non-coding RNA (567 nucleotides) under Homo sapiens (human). RNAcentral's name for it is "UVRAG divergent transcript". Lineage: Eukaryota; Metazoa; Chordata; Mammalia; Primates; Hominidae. The record is from RNAcentral.